RNAcentral lists this ribosomal RNA (407 nucleotides) under uncultured bacterium. RNAcentral describes it as "partial 16S ribosomal RNA". It matches the Rfam family "Bacterial small subunit ribosomal RNA", at positions 29 to 526 of the family's 1533-position model. The record is from RNAcentral.
AUUGAACGCUGGCGGCAGGCCUAACACAUGCAAGUCGAGCGGAGCGGCGGACGGGAGAGUAAUGACUAGGAAGCAGACUGGGAGUGGGGGAGAACGUCCGGAAACGGGAGGUAAUAAAUAAUACUAUCAGAUGAGCCUAGGCCGGAUUAGCUAGUUGGUGGGGGAGAGGCCUACCAAGGCGACGAGCCGUAACUGGUCUGAGAGGAGGAUCAGUCACACUGGAACUGAGACACGGUCCAGACUCCUACGGGAGGCAGCAGGGGGGAAUAUUGGCCAAUUGGCGCAAGCCUGAUCCAGCCAUGCCGCGUGUGUGAAGAAGGUCUUCGGAUUGUAAAGCACUUUCAGUUGGGAGGCGUUACCCACAGAAUAAGCACCGGCUAACUUCGUGCCAGCAGCCGCGGUAAUAC